AAACCUUGCGUACAUUGAAACAAAAUCCUUUUUCCUUGAUUUAAGUAAAUUUUAUAUUGAACCGAACUAUUUUUCCUUUAAACCAAUGUUCCAAGUUUUAAAAUCAAAGUAUUUAAUUUAAAUUUAAAGAAUUUAUUUUUUGACGCAGAAUCAAUGUAAAAAUUCAUUGAUUUAGAUGAAUGUUUUUUUGAAUCAAAGUAUUUUUUCGUCAAAUAGUCGACACAUCUUCAUUAGCUUCUGUUUGGUGAACGGGUCGGGGAAAAGCUUUUCCGAUAACCAGUCAGACUUAUUUAUACCAGCGGAAUCUUCCUGCCGUGCAACCCCAGACAGCAUCGGAUUCAAGAGCGGAAAAUUCCGACAGCUACGAGAGGGCAAACGAUAGUGGACUCCAAGGGCAACCAUUCGUCCAACCAAUUUGAAAAGGUAACUGUGCUGACUGUUCCAGUCCUCCGGCUAUAAGCGGUUGCAAUCGGUUCCGAUCCGGUCCAGGGAGACACAACGGCUGACGCCAAAACCCUUUUGUUCGAAAGCAACUGUCUAGCAACGAAUAUCGUUCAAUGAACCGGUUUAAAAAUUCAAUAUAAGGGAAAAUCGAUUAUGUGAAGUGGUGAACGAUAGAACAUCUACUUACAGAGAAAAAAAACUUACAGAGAAAUAAAAUGUUUCCAAC
Uranotaenia lowii is the source of this 670-nucleotide long non-coding RNA. RefSeq lists it as uncharacterized. The transcript is spliced from 3 exons. Lineage: Eukaryota; Metazoa; Arthropoda; Insecta; Diptera; Culicidae. The record is from RefSeq and is a predicted model, not a curated record.